This 129-nucleotide small RNA is filed under the name Providencia alcalifaciens. RNAcentral describes it as "RtT sRNA". It matches the Rfam family "RtT RNA". Rfam says of the family: This family represents a bacterial cis-regulatory element known as RtT RNA. The exact function of RtT is unknown although it is thought that it may be involved in changing the cellular response in relation to amino acid starvation. Lineage: Bacteria; Pseudomonadati; Pseudomonadota; Gammaproteobacteria; Enterobacterales; Morganellaceae. The record is from RNAcentral.
AUAUUGUAUGUUGAGUGGAGGUGAGAAGCUGCGUUCAGGUUUGAGCCGAGCGAAGCGAGACAGCGUAGCGCUUGCCGCAACGACCCGAAGGGCGAGGGCAAAGCCUGAGUUAUCCUGCACGACCCACCA